UACACAAUUAACGAGAAUCAC
RNAcentral lists this non-coding RNA (21 nucleotides) under Caenorhabditis elegans. The record is from RNAcentral. Lineage: Eukaryota; Metazoa; Nematoda; Chromadorea; Rhabditida; Rhabditidae.